GAGAAUGAAUAAUUUUUGUCUAUAAUUCAUGAAAUAUAUGAAAGAUUAGAUUUAAGUAUUAAUUAAUUUUAGAUUAGAUCUAAAUUAAUUAGACUUAAAUAGAUCCAAAAUCUAAGUUAGACUUGGUAUAAAAGUCCUAAAGAGAUUAGGAUUGACAACCUUUUGAAAUUAUUUUGAACUGGCUUCGAAUCGGAUUCGAAUUGGACCUAUUUUGGAUGGAUUCUCAGGUUAAUAAAAUCAAAUCCUCUAAAUUAUUAGGUCCAUAAAGUGAUAAAGUUAUAAGAUAACUUGGUUAUUGCUUCCCAUUAAGGUGUGUGAUAAUGAGUCCAAUAUUCUAAAUAGG
Molecule: long non-coding RNA, 343 nt
Filed under: Elaeis guineensis (African oil palm)
Lineage: Eukaryota; Viridiplantae; Streptophyta; Magnoliopsida; Arecales; Arecaceae
Description: long non-coding RNA (EGUI_LNC051805)
Source: RNAcentral